CCUACGGGGUGCAGCAGUGAGGAAUAUUGGUCAAUGGCCGGAAGGCUGAACCAGCCAUGCCGCGUGAAGGUCAGUGCCCUAUGGGCGUUAAACUUCUUUUGUGCGGGAGCAAUAAUGGUCACGUGUGGCCAGACGAGAGUACCGUACGCAUAAGCAUCGGCUAACUCCGUGCCAGCAGCCGCGGUAAUACGGGGGAUGCAAGCGUUAUCCGGGUUUAUUGGGUUUAAAGGGUGCGUAGGCUGUGAGGUAAGGCAGCGGUGAAAUGCCCCCGCUCAACGGGGUGAAGUGCCAUUGAUACUGCCUUGCUUGAAUGCGGAUGCCGUGGGAGGAAUGUGUGGUGUAGCGGUGAAAUGCAUAGAUAUCACACAGAACACCGAUUGCGAAGGCAUCUCACGAAUCCGCGAUUGACGCUGAUGCACGAAAGCGUGGGUAUCAAACAGGAUUAGAUACCCUGGUAGUC
Molecule: ribosomal RNA, 460 nt
Filed under: uncultured bacterium
Lineage: Bacteria
Description: partial 16S ribosomal RNA
Rfam family: Bacterial small subunit ribosomal RNA
Source: RNAcentral